GUGUUGUAUGAAGGGAGAGAAAGUUAAACUCCCCUUGAUAAGGAUGGAAGAGGUUCUAGUGGCCUUUACAAGACACAAAUGGUUAAAGGGCCUCUUGUUGACUGGAAGAUUGCAAGUAAUGAGCGAGUAAAUUAU
This is a small nuclear RNA of Sarcophilus harrisii (Tasmanian devil), 135 nucleotides long. The record is from Ensembl. Lineage: Eukaryota; Metazoa; Chordata; Mammalia; Dasyuromorphia; Dasyuridae.